This 524-nucleotide ribosomal RNA is filed under the name uncultured Salmonella sp. RNAcentral describes it as "bacterial SSU rRNA". It matches the Rfam family "Bacterial small subunit ribosomal RNA", at positions 505 to 1026 of the family's 1533-position model. Lineage: Bacteria; Pseudomonadati; Pseudomonadota; Gammaproteobacteria; Enterobacterales; Enterobacteriaceae. The record is from RNAcentral.
GUGCCAGCCGCCGCGGCGGUAAUACGGAGGGUGCAAGCGUUAAUCGGAAUUACUGGGCGUAAAGCGCACGCAGGCGGUCUGUUAAGUCAGAUGUGAAAUCCCCGGGCUCAACCUGGGAAUUGCAUCUGAUACUGGCAGGCUUGAGUCUCGUAGAGGGGGGUAGAAUUCCAGGUGUAGCGGUGAAAUGCGUAGAGAUCUGGAGGAAUACCGGUGGCGAAGGCGGCCCCCUGGACGAAGACUGACGCUCAGGUGCGAAAGCGUGGGGAGCAAACAGGAUUAGAUACCCUGGUAGUCCACGCCGUAAACGAUGUCGACUUGGAGGUUGUGCCCUUGAGGCGUGGCUUCCGGAGCUAACGCGUUAAGUCGACCGCCUGGGGAGUACGGCCGCAAGGUUAAAACUCAAAUGAAUUGACGGGGCCCGCACAAGCGGUGGAGCAUGUGGUUUAAUUCGAUGCAACGCGAAGAACCUUACCUGGUCUUGACAUCCACGGAAGGUCUCAGAGAUGAGACUGUGCCUUCGGGAG